This 441-nucleotide ribosomal RNA is filed under the name uncultured Methylophaga sp. RNAcentral describes it as "bacterial SSU rRNA". It matches the Rfam family "Bacterial small subunit ribosomal RNA", at positions 355 to 788 of the family's 1533-position model. Lineage: Bacteria; Pseudomonadati; Pseudomonadota; Gammaproteobacteria; Thiotrichales; Piscirickettsiaceae. The record is from RNAcentral.
UGGGGAAUAUUGGACAAUGGGGGCAACCCUGAUCCAGCAAUGCCGCGUGUGUGAAGAAGGCCUUCGGGUUGUAAAGCACUUUCAAUAGGGAGGAAAGGUUGUAAGUUAACACCUUGCAACUGUGACGUUACCUAUAGAAGAAGCACCGGCUAACUCCGUGCCAGCAGCCGCGGUAAUACGGAGGGUGCAAGCGUUAAUCGGAAUUACUGGGCGUAAAGCGCGCGUAGGCGGUUAUUUAAGUCAGAUGUGAAAUCCCCGGGCUCAACCUGGGAAUUGCAUUUGAUACUGGAUGGCUAGAGUGUGGUAGAGGUGAGUGGAAUUUCAGGUGUAGCGGUGAAAUGCGUAGAGAUCUGAAGGAACAUCAGUGGCGAAGGCGACUCACUGGGCCAUUACUGACGCUGAGGUGCGAAAGCGUGGGUAGCAAACAGGAUUAGAUACCCU